AAUCGAACCCGGAGAUAGCUGGUUCUCCCCGAAAUAGCUUUAGGGCUAGCGUCGCAGCGAGAGAGCCGUGAAGGUAGAGCACUGAAUAUGCGAUGGCCGCAUCCCGCGGUACUGAGCAUAAUCAAACUCCGAAUGUCACGGUGUCAUCUGCGGCAGUCAGACGGCGAGUGAUAAGGUCCGUCGUCAAGAGGGAAACAGCCCAGACCAUCAGCUAAGGUCCCAAAGUGCAUGCUAAGUGGAAAAGGAAGUGGAGACGUGCAGACAACUAGGAGGUUGGCUCAGAAGCAGCCAUCCUUCAAAGAGUGCGUAACAGCUCACUAGUCGAAUGACUCUGCGCCGAUAAUUUACCGGGGCUAAGCAUGACACCGAAGCUAUGGACAGGAAUGUGGUAGGGGAGCAUUGCAUGCAGCGGAGAAGCAUGACCGAAAGGGCAUGUGGAGCGCAUGGAAGAGAGAAUGCCGGCGUGAGUAGCGGCACGUGGGUGAGAAUCCCACGCACCGAUGGCCCAAGGUCUCCAGAGGAAGGCUCGUCCUCUCUGGGAUAGUCGGGACCUAAGGCGAGGCCGAAAGGCGUAGCCGAUGGACGACGGGUGGAUAUUCCCGUACCCGAUGUGUGGCGAUGGAGUGACGGAGAAGGCUCAGGCAACCAGCUGAUGGAAUAGCUGGGGCAAGCGAGAUACCUGCGCACCAGGGAAAUCCGGUGCGCAUAAGGGGAAGGCGCGAUGCAUACGGAAAGCUUCGGCAAGUACGGAAAAGCUGAGAGCAGGCUUCCAGGAAAAGCUUCUAGCACAACACACAUCGGCCCGUACCGAAAAUGGACACACAUGGGCAAGGAGAGAAUCCUGAGGUGAGCGAGAGAACUAUAGCUAAGGAACUCUGCAAAAUGACCCCGUAACCUAGGGAGAAGGGGUGCUCCAGAAAUGGAGCCGCAGUAAAACGGCCCAAGCGACUGUUUACCAAAAACACAGCUCUCUGCGAAGGCGCAAGCCGAAGUAUAGGGGGUGACGCCUGCCCGGUGCUGGAAGGUCAAGGGGAGCUGUCAGCGCAAGCGAAGCAGCGAGCCGAAGCCCCAGUAAACGGCGGCCGUAACUAUAACGGUCCUAAGGUAGCGAAAUUCCUUGUCGGGCAAGUUCCGACCCGCACGAAAGGCGUAACGAUUUGGGCGCUGUCUCAGCUGUAGACUCGGUGAAGUCUUAGUACCUGUGAAGAUGCAGGUUGCCCGCGACUAGACGGAAAGACCCCAUGGAGCUUCACUGCAGGUUGACAUUGGGCUUGGAUGCAUGAUGUACAGGAUAGGUGGGAGGCUGUGAGCCGUGCGCGCCAGCGUACGGGGAGCCGCUGUUGGGAUACCACCCUUCAUGCAUCUAGGUCCUAACCGGAGGCAACGGGCCACGGGACAGUGUCAGUCGGGCAGUUUGACUGGGGCGGUCGCCUCCCAAAGAGUAACGGAGGCGCCCAAAGAUACCCUCAGCAUGGAUGGAAACCAUGCAUAGAGUGCAAAGGCAUAAGGGUGUCUGACUGCGAGACAUACAGGUCGGGCAGGGACGAAAGUCGGGCUUAGUGAUCCGGCGGAUCCGAAUGGAAGGGCCGUCGCUCAACGGAUAAAAGCUACCCUGGGGAUAACAGGCUGAUCUCGCCCAAGAGUUCACAUCGACGGCGAGGUUUGGCACCUCGAUGUCGGCUCAUCGCAUCCUGGAGCUGGAUUCGGUUCCAAGGGUUGGGCUGUCCGCCCAUUAAAGCGGUACGCGAGCUGGGUUCAGAACGUCGUGAGACAGUUCGGUCCCUAUCUGUCGUGGGCGCAGGAGGUUUGAGGAGAGCUGCCCCUAGUACGAGAGGACCGGGGUGGACGGACCGAUGGUGCACCAGUUGUCACGCCAGUGGCACAGCUGGGCAGCCAAGUCCGGACGGGAUAAGCGCUGAAGGCAUCUAAGCGUGAAGCCCCCUCCAAGAUGAGACCUCCCAUUGG
Molecule: ribosomal RNA, 1965 nt
Filed under: human gut metagenome
Description: bacterial LSU rRNA
Rfam family: Bacterial large subunit ribosomal RNA
Source: RNAcentral